RNAcentral lists this ribosomal RNA (326 nucleotides) under uncultured Chlorobiota bacterium. RNAcentral's name for it is "bacterial SSU rRNA". It matches the Rfam family "Bacterial small subunit ribosomal RNA", at positions 28 to 351 of the family's 1533-position model. The record is from RNAcentral. Lineage: Bacteria; Pseudomonadati; Chlorobiota.
GACGAACGCUGGCGGCGUGCUUAAUACAUGCAAGUCAACUGAAGCAGUUGUAGCAAUACGGCUGUGGAGGUGGCGCACGGGUGAGUAACACGUAGGUAAUCUGCCUUCAGGACUGACACAACUCCGAGAAAUCGGAGCUAAUAUCAGAUAAUGCAGCGGCUUGACAUCAAGACAGUUGUUAAAGCUUCGGUGCCUGGAGAUGAGCCUGCGCCCCAUUAGGUAGUUGGCGGAGUAACAGCCCACCAAGCCUGCGAUGGGUAGCUGGUCUGAGAGGAUGAUCAGCCACACUGGAACUGAGACACGGUCCAGACUCCUACGGGAGGCAG